UNGAAUGCUAAAAGGAAACAGGUGUGAAA
RNAcentral lists this non-coding RNA (29 nucleotides) under Homo sapiens (human). Lineage: Eukaryota; Metazoa; Chordata; Mammalia; Primates; Hominidae. The record is from RNAcentral.